UACAGAGGGGGCAAGCGUUGUUCGGAAUUACUGGGCGUAAAGGGCGCGUAGGCGGCCUUCUAAGUCGAACGUGAAAUCCCCGGGCUCAACCCGGGAACUGCGUCCGAUACUGGAAGGCUUGAAUCCGGGAGAGGGAUGCGGAAUUCCAGGUGUAGCGGUGAAAUGCGUAGAUAUCAGGAGGAACACCAAUGGCGAAGGCAGCUCGCUGGAACGGUACUGACGCUGAGGCGCGAAAGCGUGGGGAGCGAACAGG
This 253-nucleotide ribosomal RNA is filed under the name uncultured bacterium. RNAcentral describes it as "partial 16S ribosomal RNA". It matches the Rfam family "Bacterial small subunit ribosomal RNA", at positions 524 to 776 of the family's 1533-position model. The record is from RNAcentral.